UGCAUAAUGUUUUUUUUCAUGGAAGAUUAGAACUCAAGUCGGUCGUUACGAAUUCCAUUUUCGUAAUAUACUAAAUACCUCGGUCGCUUCGAAUUUCUGAGCCCUUGAAAAAAACCUGACUCAUUGGUAAUUUAUCGGUACAAAAAUAAGGACUUAUUAGCCAUGCCUUGAAAAUUUUGAUCGGACAUAGCGAUUUAAAAAUCUUUCCGCCAUUGACUUUGACAUCAACAAAUUUCGCAGUUUAUUUUCGUCGUUUUGUAGCUUACACCGUCUCGGCUGUUAUCCAACACACUCUUGAAAACUGACUCCGAAGUUGGUAAACCGAAAGCAGGCAAAAUGGAGUUAUCUUUUCGUAUUCUUGGUUAUUUAACCUUGCUCUGUUACUUACUACACCAUACGAAUGCUGUCAAACCAGUAUUUCAAGACUCUACUCCUUCUGUAAUAACAGAAGGAUUACCACCAGGUACAUUUUACUACAAGUUCGUAGCAACUGAUGCAACUCCAGGACAUGUUGUUACGUACAGUCUUGAGUCUAAAGCAAGUGAAUGGUUCAACAUUAACAGCGCUACUGGAAAUGCAACAGUAAAGAAAACUAUUGACAGAGAGGCGAUGGGGAGCACGUUUAGAUACAAAGUAUUUGCAUCAGACGGCACAAAUACAGGAGAAGCAGAUGUGAUUCAACAGAUCCGGGAUAUUAAUGACAAUCCUCCGGUCUUCAAUAACCUGCCGAAGAGUAUCAACAUUAAAGAGGAUACCUCUGUAGGUUCAUUAGUGUUUACAGUGAGUGCAACCGAUGAAGAUUCAUCCCCUGCUAAUGCCUUCGAAUUUGCCAUUGAAACUGGUAAUGAGGAAGGAAGAUUUGAAUUCCCUAAUCCCGCUGAUGGCCAAAUUAAACUGAAGAAAUCUCUCGACUAUGACGAUGGUACAAAACAGUUCGUGUUUCGAAUUAUCGCAAAGAACACCCUUUCCAGUCCUUAUCUAAAUUCUACAGCAGUGUUGACCAUCAACGUUCUGGAUGUGGAUGAUUUGGGUGCGAAGUUUGAGAAGAAUUUGUACGAAACAACACUAGCCAAAGAUUCUCUGCCGGGUACCGUAGUGACGACUGUCCAGGCUAAAGACAGGGAUAGUUUUAACGCUACUGUAGAAUACAAAAUAUAUCAAGAAACUAAUCCUGGUAACGUGUACAAGGUAAAUAACAACACAGGAGAGAUAACAGUCAAUGGACCGCUGACUAUUGGAACUCAGCUACUGGUCGUUACGGCCACCUCGACCAAACACCCUCCUGCAUUCACCGUAGUCAAAGUGAAUGUGGCUUCAAUGCUCAACAAGUCGUACACUGUCAGUGUUGCUGAAGGACAAAGUAAUGUGGUUAUUUUCAAUUUGGAACCUGUAGAACGGUACUACAACAUCACCGGAGGAACGUUCUCUAUCAUAUCUAGUGCACAAUCUAGUCUCUUCUCCAUAGACGGCAAAAACCUAAAAGUUGGAGGAGCAGCGUUGGACAGAGAGACUCGAGACCAAUACCAACUGAAUAUUGUGGUAGAUAAAGAUGGUACAAGAAAAGGAGUGGUUAUGGUUACCAUCAAUGUACUGGACAUCAAUGACAACACGCCGUCAUUCCAAGGUGAUCUCCCUUACAAUGCUUCAGUGAGAGAAGAUGCCGAUGUAGGACACAGUAUAUUGAGGGUAACAGCAACAGAUGUGGAUGAGGGUUUGAAUGGUACUGUGAAGUAUGCCCUUAAAGGAGUAGAUCAACCAGACCUUUUCUCCAUCGAAAACGCAACUGGAUUAAUUACUUUAGCUGGCAAACUAGAUCGUGAGACAAUGGCUCAGUACACUCUGACUAUCCAGGCCUAUGAUGGAGGAUCUCCUCCUAAGACCAACAUUACUACUGUCAUUAUCAACGUACUAGAUGUUAACGAUAACCUGCCGGUUUUAAACCAAACUUCCAUUUCUAAAGUUGUUCCUGAGUGGGCAACGAAUGGGACAGAAGUGGCAGUGGUAUCAGCCACAGAUGCAGACAGUGGAGACAAUGGCAGGAUUACAUACGUCAUACAGGAAGGAGCUGAUGACAAGUUUGUUAUUGACCCUAACACCGGUGUUAUCACCACCACAGGAGGGUUAAGUUACACGACUAAACCCAUAUACACGCUUGUUGUGAAUGCCCGUGAUAACGGUUUACCACCAAGAUCUGCUACAGCUACUGUACAUGUUAACAUCGAACCAAGAACUAACAAAUCCUACACAGAACAAGUCACUGAAGGAGCAGCAAACGUUGAUGUUUUAAGUUUGUUGAGCGUAGAAAAGGAUUACAAAGUUUCUGGAGCAUCGUUUUCUUUUAUAUCUGGUAAUGACGACAACCACUUCUUGAUUGAUGCUGCAAACAAAGUGCUCAAAAUUGGUUCACAACCACUGGAUAGGGAACUUCGAAAUGAAUACCGACUUGAAAUCCAAGUCGAAAAAGAUGGGAUAAUCAGAGGAGUUGCGACGGUUACUAUACUGGUGCUGGAUGUCAAUGACAACUCUCCGUCAUUCCAAGGAACCAUUCCUUAUGAUGCGAGCAUUAAAGAAGACGCUGGUAUCGGCGCAAACAUUGUUAAAGUUCUGGCAAAAGACAGUGAUUCUGGACUUAACAGUACUGUGAAAUAUGCCAUCACUGCGGGAAACGACCAAGGCUCGUUUUCCAUGGACAACAAGACCGGACAAAUAUCUUUGUCUGGUAGCCUUGACCGAGAAAAAACUGCUCAGUACACUCUGACUAUCCAGGCCUAUGACGGAGGGACUCCUCCAAUGACCAACACUACUACUGUCAUUAUCAACGUACUAGACGUCAACGAUAACUCACCGGUGAUGAAUCAGACUUUACUUUCCAAAACCCUUUCUGAGUGGGCAACGAAUGGAACAGAAGUGGCAGUGGUAUCAGCCACAGAUGCAGACAGUGGAGAAUAUAGCAGGAUUACAUACGUCAUACAGGAAGGAGCUGAUGACAAGUUUGUUAUUGACCCUAACACCGGUGUUAUCACUACCACUGGAGGGUUAAGUUACACGACUAAACACACAUACACGAUCAUUGUGAAAGCUCGUGAUCACGGUUCAUCGCCACGCUCUGCGACAACGGUCGUGUCUGUUAGCGUUGAACCCAAGACUAACAAAACCUACACAGUACAAGUUACUGAGAACAGACCAGAUGAAAUUGUGAUGAGUUUAGUGGUCGUGGAGCAAGACUACAACAUCAUUGGAGCAAGUUUCUCAAUUUCAGCUGGCAAUAACGAUGAUCAUUUCAAAAUUGUUGGAAAAGAUCUUAAAGUCGGCGCGAAGCCACUGGACAGGGAGAUUAAGAAAGAGCAUGUGCUCCGAGUCACACUCGUUAAAGAUGGCAAAGUUAGAGGAGUCGCAAUGAUAAUUGUCAACGUACUUGACGUGAACGACAACUCGCCUGCAUUUCAAGGAUCCAUUCCUUAUAGCGUUGACGUAAAGGAAGACACUAUGAUUGGUGAUAUCAUUCUGAAGGUUAACGCAACGGACAGUGAUAGCGGUAACAAUGGUACAGUUAUAUAUUCCAUAACUGGGGGCAACGGAGAAGACCGUUUCUCCAUCGAAAACACAACUGGAAUAAUAACUUUAGCUAGCGAACUAAACCGUGAGACAACGCCUCAGUAUACUCUGACUAUCCAGGCCUAUGAUGGAGGAUCUCCUCCUAAGACCAACACUACUACUGUCAUUAUCAACUUACUAGACGUCAACGAUAUCUCACCAAGCUUUAGUCCUAGAGUAAUGAAUGUGGUUGUUUCUGAGCGGACCUCAAAUGGUGUCCAGAUCGCACAAGUAACAGCUAAAGAUUCAGAUAUAGGCGAAAACAGCAGAAUUAACUACAGCAUCGCGGAAGGCAAUGAUGGGAAAUUUGACAUUGAUCCAAACACCGGUGCCAUCAAGAUCAUUGGGGGACUGAGUUUCAAAGAAAGAUCCAAAUACAUGUUGAUUAUCGAUGCUAAAGAUAAUGGGUUGUCUCCUCGUACUGGGUCAGCUAUUGUCUACAUCACGAUCACAAGCGCUGGGCAGAAUUUGCAUUCACCUGUUCUUAAGAAAACUGAUUACCUGGGAGGAGUAUACAAGGAUACCAGCGAUGACCAGCUUAUUCUAACUGUCUCAGCUACAGACGCAGACAGUGGUGCAAACGGGGAAGUCAUAUACGAGCUCACAGAAAAUCCUGUCCCAUUCCUUUUCCACCUGGAAACUGUCUCUGGACGUCUGCGCAGUGCAAACUCGUUUGUAGAUAAAGAGGGAGAACUUUAUAUAUUUAAAGGUAGAGCCAAAGACAAAGGGAGUCCACCUAAAAAUUCAACAGAGGCAAAUUUAUGUGUUUUUGUUCUCCGAGAUUCUCAUAGUCUGAUUAUCACAGCUGAUGUCAGUCAAGAUUUCAUCCUGAAAAACGACGAAGAAUUCCGAGGUGUCCUUGAUGAUUUGACUGGAGGAAAGGCUUUCAUUAAGUCAGUCAGACCUAUAGGAGGAAAAACCAAUUCGUCGGAGAUUAUUUUUAAUGUUGUCAAGAACAAGACGGAGUCGACAUCUGAUCAAAUUCAUGAGUCACUAAAAAGAAGAGAGGAUGACAUUAAAAACAAGUAUAGCAAAUGGAACAUAAGAACCUAUGAGCUUCCCAAAACGGGGAAGCAGAUCUCAAAAGGUGGCUUAUCAGCUAUAGUCGGAGCCAUGAUAUGCCUGGCUUUACUGAUUGGUGUUGGUGGAAUUAUUAUGAUUAUUAUUCUCAUAAAGAAAAGACGCGAGCGAGAGAGAAUUCGAAGAAAUGCAAGAGUUACUUUCAACGACGAGCCACACUACAAGAGGCACAGAGGACGCUUGUCGAGCCGUGUAUCACCCACCUCCCUGGUUUCCUCCAAUAACCAUUAAUAUCGAUGGUAAUAUGCCCGUCAGUAGGUUGAGACACGCCGAGUCUGCACAGGAUCAAGCACUAAAUCCGGCACAGAACAACACCAAUUUAAAAGAACUUAAAUUACACUUUAAGAAUAUAAGAGGUUCUC
This 5036-nucleotide unclassified non-coding RNA is filed under the name Actinia tenebrosa (Australian red waratah sea anemone). Its description in RNAcentral is "protocadherin-23-like, transcript variant X4". The record is from RNAcentral. Lineage: Eukaryota; Metazoa; Cnidaria; Anthozoa; Actiniaria; Actiniidae.